This 291-nucleotide long non-coding RNA is filed under the name Medicago truncatula (barrel medic). RNAcentral's name for it is "long non-coding RNA (MTRU_LNC001674)". The record is from RNAcentral. Lineage: Eukaryota; Viridiplantae; Streptophyta; Magnoliopsida; Fabales; Fabaceae.
UUGAUGCUUGUUCGCGAACGGGGGAAAUCACUUUGGGUUUUCGUCAUCUAUUUUGAAAUAAGGAUUUUAUGGUUCUUUAAUUGUUGCUUUAAACUAUUUAGUAUGUUUAGAAAUGCGGAGACAUGUUAUCUUCUGCUAGGAACUUUAAACAAGUUUCACUUUUGUUCUUUUGAAGCUGAUACAUUUUUUUUCCAUUUUCAUCUAUUAAUAAAUUAGUUAUUUGAAAUACAUUAACAUAGGAAAUUUGGAAUUGUUUUAUAAAUCGUUUUAAAAAAAAAAAAAAUCCGGGAU